RNAcentral lists this long non-coding RNA (1780 nucleotides) under Nicotiana tabacum (common tobacco). RNAcentral describes it as "long non-coding RNA (NTAB_LNC018352)". Lineage: Eukaryota; Viridiplantae; Streptophyta; Magnoliopsida; Solanales; Solanaceae. The record is from RNAcentral.
UGGCAACCAAGUUAAUAAAUCAAGGACACUUCAUUCUUUAUAUUAAUACACAAUCCCUACAAUCAGAUAAGAAGUUUGGCACCUUAACAACGAGAAUUCUCAGAAAAACUACAAAAUUUCAACUCUUUCUCUCUUCAUAAUAUUCUACUAUUUUAGGUUGUUAUUUAGAGUAAUGGAUACUGAAUUCUACACGGAUGAAACUAUUACCUCCCAACAGAUUGAGAACCUAAAGCUUUGAUCUUUUUCUACCAUGAAAGUUAGUAGGCUUCUUCAAGGUUGCUUCCUUUCUCACGUUGAUUGAAUGCACUGUUGGAGCUGGUAUUUAACAUGGUCUUGGUAAUGCACAUAGUCAAGUGAUGAAAUAGUUUCUUUGAAACAUGAAACUAGUUUAUUGAAAUAGGAAGCUGCACAUUGUCGAGUUUGGAAUAACGUGUUAGAAAUUGCCAAAACCACCUAUCUAUAUGUAGGUUGUGACUGAUCAAGGGAAUCAUCUCAGGUAUGUUAAGGUUAUCCUUUCUUUCUUUUCGACAUAAUCCAAAGUAUAUGGAAGAAAUGAGCAAAUGCACAGUUUUCAUAAAACGACUCUAUUCAUAGAAAUACUAGUGGUGUCUAUAUUCUUGAUUCCCCAUGUGAAUUAUUAUUAUAUCUUCAAUUCAUGGAUCUCAGAAAAAUACGUAAGUUGAAAAAGUUUACUUCAUGAUAUUAAUCAGAGGCAUAAUGAUCUUAUGACGUACCGAGAGAUUUUAUUAACGUAUUUCAUAUGCAUUUCAUGCAUUUAUACAUGCACAUUGACCCAUGACCAGACGGUGUUAUAUACGUGUAUAUAUGUAUAUGGGAUAUGGAAAAAGGUUACGGCAUUAUAUACGCACCACCACCUGAUCAGUUGGUAUACGAUGAUGAUUUUGCCCAUAGUGGCACCAGGUGGCAUUAUAUACGCGUAUAUAUGUAAAUAUAUGGAUAUGGAAAAUAUGGAAAAAAGUUUACGGCGUUAUAUAUGCACCACCACCUGAUCAGCUGGUAUACGUUGAUGAUUUACCCACAGUGGCCGAGAUGAUAUGAUGGGAUGCCCUCAGAGGCUUGAUGAUGUUAUGAGCACAUGUACCUAUGCACGACAUGACAUUCAUAUGUAUAUGCAUAACACUAUAAGUAUUUCAUGAUUUACAGAGUUAUCCAGACUUACAGGUUGAUUCUUAUAUGUCUUUAAAUAAAUAUUAACUUAUUGUUAUGUUUCAGUUUUACCUUACAUAUUCAGUACAUUAUUCGUACUGACGUCCUUUUCUUGUGGACGAUGCAUUCAUGCAUGCAGGUAUAGAUUAUCAGUUUGACGAGCCCUCAUAUUAAACAAGAUUGGCAUUCAACGAAUGAUCAGUAAGACUCCACCUCAUUCGGAGUACAACCACGUCUAUGAGUCAUCGUGCCAGAGUUUUGCUAUAGACUUAUGGGUAGGCCGGUACCCUAUCCCAUUUAAUGUCGAAUAAUCUUAGAGGCUUUAUAGACAGAGGUUCAUUUUUUACAGUAUGUCAGAGGCCUUGAAGGACCAUAUGUAUUCAUGUUUUAAGAAAUAUGGUUCAGUGAUACAAUGUUGUCUACUUACAGUUGUGCAUUAUGAGUUAUGGUCAUGUUAUCCCAUGAUAGUUACAAAAGGAAUAAAUGAGUUUCAGAGUGGUUCGUUGGGGCCAGUACGGCAUCGAGUGCCAACCACGCCUCCCAAGGUUGGGGGCGUGACACAGUAGCACCAAGCUAUCCUGAAUUCUUAUAUGUGUCAAUUUCAAUAUUUUUA